UACGGAGGUGGCAAGCGUUGCUCGGAAUCACUGGGCGUAAAGGGCGCGUAGGCGGGGAGGUAAGUCGGGUGUGAAAUCCCUCGGCCCAACCGAGGAACUGCGCCCGAGACUGCUUCUCUUGAGUCCCGGAGAGGAAGAUGGAAUUCCCGGUGUAGCGGUGAAAUGUGUAGAGAUCGGGAGGAACACCGGUGGCGAAGGCGGUCUUCUGGACGGUGACUGACGCUGAGGCGCGAAAGCCAGGGUAGCGAACCGG
This 253-nucleotide ribosomal RNA is filed under the name uncultured bacterium. Its description in RNAcentral is "partial 16S ribosomal RNA". It matches the Rfam family "Bacterial small subunit ribosomal RNA", at positions 524 to 776 of the family's 1533-position model. The record is from RNAcentral.